RNAcentral lists this ribosomal RNA (253 nucleotides) under uncultured bacterium. RNAcentral's name for it is "partial 16S ribosomal RNA". It matches the Rfam family "Bacterial small subunit ribosomal RNA", at positions 524 to 776 of the family's 1533-position model. The record is from RNAcentral.
UACGUAGGGUGCGAGCGUUAAUCGGAAUUACUGGGCGUAAAGCGUGCGCAGGCGGUUUUGUAAGCCAGAUGUGAAAUCCCCGGGCUUAACCUGGGAAUGGCAUUUGGGACUGCAAAGCUUGAGUGUGGCAGAGGGGACUGGAAUUCCUGGUGUAGCAGUGAAAUGCGUAGAGAUCAGGAGGAACACCGAAGGCGAAGGCAGUGUCCUGGGGAGUACCUGACGCUCAGGUGCGAAAGCGUGGGGAGCAAACAGG